This 403-nucleotide ribosomal RNA is filed under the name uncultured bacterium. RNAcentral describes it as "partial 16S ribosomal RNA". It matches the Rfam family "Bacterial small subunit ribosomal RNA", at positions 28 to 526 of the family's 1533-position model. The record is from RNAcentral.
GACGAACGCUGGCGGCGUGCCUAAUACAUGCAAGUCGAACGCAGUGGGGACGGGUGAGUAACAAGUGGGUAACCUCCCAUCAGAGGGGAGAACACUUGGAAACAGGUGCUAAACCGGUAUUGAUGGAUGGACCCGCGUGGCAUUAGCUAGUUGGUGAGGUAACGGCGCACCAAGGCCACGAUGCAUAGCCGGCCUGAGAGGGUGAUCUGCCAAACUGGGACUGAGACACGGCCCAGAUUCCUACGGUAGGCAGCAGUAGGGAAUCUUCGGCAAUGGACGAAAGUCUGACCGAGCAACGCCGCGUGAGUGAAGAAGGUUUUCGGAUCGUAAAACUCUGUUGUUAGAGAAGCGGUAUCUAACCAGAAAGCCACGGCUAACUACGUGCCAGCAGCCGCGGUAAUUC